Molecule: ribosomal RNA, 460 nt
Filed under: uncultured bacterium
Lineage: Bacteria
Description: partial 16S ribosomal RNA
Rfam family: Bacterial small subunit ribosomal RNA
Source: RNAcentral
CCUACGGGUGGCAGCAGUGAGGAAUAUUGGUCAAUGGACGAGAGUCUGAACCAGCCAAGUAGCGUGAAGGAUGACUGCCCUAUGGGUUGUAAACUUCUUUUAUAUGGGAAUAAAACAGGGUAUGCAUACCCUCAUGUACGUACCAUAUGAAUAAGGAUCGGCUAACUCCGUGCCAGCAGCCGCGGUAAUACGGAGGAUCCGAGCGUUAUCCGGAUUUAUUGGGUUUAAAGGGAGCGUAGGUGGAAUGUUAAGUCAGUUGUGAAAGUUCGGGGCUCAACCGUCGAAUUGCAGUUGAAACUGGCCGUCUUGAGUACAGUAGAGGUAGGCGGAAUUCGUGGUGUAGCGGUGAAAUGCUUAGAUAUCACGAAGAACUCCGGUUGCGAAGGCAGCUCACUGGACAGCAACUGACGCUGAGGCUCGAAAGUGUGGGUAGCAAACAGGAUUAGAUACCCUUGUAGUC